CAACAAGGGAUUUUUCAUAAUAACCCCCUGACAUCCAAAUUCCUGAACUAUUUAUUUAUUAUUUCAGCCCUUCACGCCACUCCGUGGACUCGAUCCCGUGGUCCGUCGCCGAGCUCUUAAACCCUAAUUGCCGUUCCCCAUAGAAUAGCGCGGAAGGAGGAAAUGGGGGCCUCCUUCGUGGAUCCGAAUGGUUCGCAACUGAUGAUCGGUGACGGAGCCGGCUGUGGUAGGGCGCCUCCCCGCCGGCGGCCUAUCGGCUCUGGUGCCACGAACUCUGCACCUGGAAAACUUACAUGGUCCUUGUGAAAAUACAUCCCAGAGCAUCAGUUAGAGCUAGUUUCCAAAGAGCUAGAGGAAGCUUUGUACAAGAGAAAGAAAAGUUACCAUGAUCAGCUACAUAGUUAGCAGUCCAAUCAGCCGUUCGAUUGCCCAUGCGGUAGGUGUGUGAGAUGUGGAAUGAUUCGAGGUCCUGAGUGAUGAGCAAAAUAUCCAGCAACAAGGGAUGAUUUGUAGAUGUUGGAGAUGGCAAGUGGUUGCUCCAUUGAAUAGUAGAGGUAGACUGGCCCUCAAGCCAUAUGUGAAUUGACUGUGCAGUAGACACCUUCCCAUGCAACACACAGUUCCAUUAUGGCUACAUUUCUGUUCUGUUGGAAGAUGCCACCGGCUGCUACAGUGGCUCCCAUGUGAUCGUGGAUAAUGUAUCCAGCACCACAGGGGGUCUACCUCCCUCCUUGAUGGACCUGUUGAAAUUGACCUUGAGAGUGCCAGGGGGUGGGGACUCCCAAGACAUACCCUGUUCAAUAAGGAGGUAAUAGAGAGCUGCAGAUUGCCUUGGUAUUCUCAUACUCCAUGGAGAUCAAGGAGGGCUUGCUGCAUUGAAACUCAGCCUAUUGGAGUGGAGGGAAGCGGUGUGAUCCAUUGAAGAUAUGCUCAUUGCAUGCUAGCCAAAGGAUGUACCCAAUAACACAGAUCCUUAUUGGCAGCAUGACAUUUGAAAGCGGAGCUAGAUCUGUUCCGUGAAGGGAGCUGAAGGCUUCUUUAUUAUCGAAGUCAAACCCCACCAGCAUCCUGCUCCUCAGAAAGAUCACAGAUGUUCAUGCCUCGAAUGAUAAGAGUGAGACAGUAUGCAAGCGAGACCAGGUCACCUUCUACCAAAACAGAGUCACCCGAGCUGGUAAUUUGAUUGUCCACACCAAGGUGGCAUAGGCAUUUGAGCACAUGGGUGUUGCUGUGACAUGCUUAUAGGGCUCCUUGGCCUUGAGUAUGCUGCUACGAGAAGCUCCCCAGUUCCUCACCCAGUUUUGUAUGGAUGUGGAAGAGCAUGGGCAGUGUUCAGUGAUCUGAGCAUGUACUUGCUGAGUUGAUUUUUUUUUUAAUAUCUUCUGGAAUUCUAAUUGAUUCUUGGACAAUCAAUUGCACACACCAUAAUCAUCAAGCAUUUUCCAAACUAUUUGGGGCCAGCUUUAGGAUAAUCAGUUAUAUAGAUAUUUUAAAACAAAUUAGGUCAUUAUCAAUUUAUCAUGUCGGGGGAGUUCCAGCUGGUGAACUAAUUUUUUGUAAAUAUACUGUAUUAUUGAAAUUGUUUAAGAAUUAUAGUAUGUUUGUUUAUUAAUUAGCAGAUGACAGCUUUUGCUUGGUACCUUAGCAAGGUUCAGACAUGCUGCUAAGCUAGAUCAUCUCAUGCUUCCUUGUAAAGCUGUGCAUGAAGUCUGGCAGCGCUUGAUUUAUGCCAGUCACUAGCUUAUCAGUGUUAAUAUAAUCUCAGCAUGUUUACAAUUCUAGAAUGUUAAUGGACGUUCAUGGGUAUAUGUGCUAAAUGUGAUUAAUCCAAGUUGUUCCUUUUGGUUGAUAAGUUUACAAAAUUGUUUCUUUCAAGUCUUUGCUGCUUUUGCUUAUUUAUGUACAGACUUUAUAUCAUCGCUCAAAGUGAAAUGCAUAUAUAUCUUCUGAAAACUCAAAAUUCCCAGAUUUUCUACAUAUUUUUGUCAUGGUUAAAAUUACAUGUCUUUUCUGCUUUCAUUCUGUUGGACAAGUUAUCUGGUAAAUUUGUGAAAUUUAUUAGUUGAUUCACUUUUUUAGAGGAUAUACUUUGAAAGCAAAGAAAGAAAGAAAUGAUCACUCUUUACCGACUCUUGUAAAGGAGAAUAAUUCUGGUGGACAAAAUUCUGCUUUCCCUAGGUAACUAUAAAAGAGGUAGAAGUCGUGGAAGUAUUCAUUUUAUUCUAGGAAAAAACUCAAAGAGUGGGUUCCCUGGGAGAUGAAAAUAAAUAACAUGAUUAAAUGACCAAAUUCUACAUUUCCUGGAUAGGCUUGAGCUAUAUCCAGGUUGUCUGCAGCAAAACCCUACGGCCAUGUUUGGUUCAAGUUCUACGCCUUUCUGCCUGCCAAACAGCUUUUAGAAGGCAGGCAUAAGCAAAAAAUAGUUAUCCCGGUUGUAGUUGUUUGUGCUGAGCAUAACUAUUCCAUGUUGUCAUAAGUUAUUCCUAGUAUAAAGCCCUCAUUUAUGACUUCUUUUAUGACAAAAACACUCUCAACAUAGAGUUAUUCCAGAAACUGUAGCCAAAUAAAUGCAGGAUAAAUUGUGGAAUGACUAUUCCAUAGGCAAAACUAUCCAUAUUCCAUUUUUGUGUGCGGUAAUUUCAAUCAAAGAACUAGAUGGUUGCUAGUUUCACCAAGAAACAACACUCAAUUUGCUCCCAAGAAGAAAAUCUGAUUAAUAAAUUUAUAGCAUAUCAGGAAUAACUGAUAUGAUUAUUGGAAUCUCAAACAUUUAGAUGAUAUGAAAAAAAAUAAAGGGAAUAGGCAUUAGAUGUAAUGCAAUUAUCACGGUGAAGUUCCCUCAGGACGUCAUUGCCAAGUGGAGAGGUGAAUGUCCGAGAUAUCGUCAAGUAUUAACUUCCAAGGUUGGAAUGUUGAUGCCAACGGACAAGACUAGACUUAAGCCAGCUCCUCAAAGCUAAUGCCUAAUGGCAUAGGGACAUCAAAUAUUAGAUGCAGUAUUUGUGACAUAAACUGAGUUGAACAAUGAGAUAGAAAUAGAGAAGAAACAUAGGAUGUAACCACCGACAGCAAAGAUGGAGCACCCCCCCAAAAACAAAGAUCAGAGCGAAACGAAUAGGACAUUGUGGUGGUCCUUCAACAAAGAAACAAACCAUGAUUACCCAGGGGGAGCUUCUUAGAGUCAAAAGUGGGGAAGAUUACCCAAUUGGCGUAUUUUUCUUCUGGUCACCCACUCUGUAGCCCACUUAAACAAAGAAGAAGAAGAAGAAGAAAGUGAAAGAAAAAUGGAAAUGUAUGCUCCAGGAAUCUUAGAAACUGGAAAGCCUCAUGAAUGUAUCAUAGAAACAUGCUCAAGAUUUCAACCUUGUUGGUCAGCUUAGGAGUUUGUUUGGGUAAAUAUUAGAUCAUGAAAAUGACGUAGCAACCUAGAAGCGAAGGAUGAGUCAGCAUAUGGGGCAGAAAAAUCAAAAAAGGCAUUUCUUACAAAUAUUGUUUCAUACAAUAAAUUUUCUCUCAUUUUACUUAAAUUUACUCAUUUUUUGUGUGGAAGUUAUGUCAUUAUUGUGACUAAAUUUAAUUAUUUCAAACUUUUUCAACUUGUUACACUUCACUGUAACCAAUGCUAUGUGUAAAGCUAAAAGCAAGGAGGGUGCUCCCAAACAAAUCCUCCAUGCUAAAGCUUAUCUUGGUCGGCGGACAAUUCUAGUAUCAAAAAUAGGGGAUAUCUCUUUCCAGGUGUCGAAAGUUGUCCACAUCUGCAGCCAUAAAGAUAAAAAGGAUCAAGGCAAUUUGGUGUCUUGGGAAUGUGUACCCUUUGGGAUAGUAGUUGCAUGAUUAAGUGGGAAAUUAUAGGUACAUGUGAUACACAUUUGUGAGCUGCCUUCCUUAUAGAAUGUGACAAUUGAAGCAGGAGAUGAUUAUUUAAUAAAUCAUACCUAAAAGGAGGCAUAGCAAGGUAAGUACAUAGGUGAGUGUAUUAUACCGUCCAUUGCAAGAAUUUCUACACAAGAAUACUGUUGGAAUUUAACUAUAAUCUUAAAAUUUCACCUUGAGUAAGCCCUUGGAAAAGCUACCUGGCAUUGUGCUCUAGAUCCUUGUGCUGUUCGAAUGUCACAGUGAG
This is a long non-coding RNA of Phoenix dactylifera (date palm), 4120 nucleotides long. RefSeq lists it as uncharacterized. Lineage: Eukaryota; Viridiplantae; Streptophyta; Magnoliopsida; Arecales; Arecaceae. The record is from RefSeq and is a predicted model, not a curated record.